AUGACUUUUUUGGCCACACAGAAAAGGUUUGGCCUUAACAUAGAUCGAUGGUUGACAAUCAAAAGUGCUGAACAAGAUUCCUGCUCGAUGCCAUCCUUUUGAAAAAGAAUGGAUAGAAUGUGCACAUGGAAUCGGUAGUAUUCAGGCAGAGAAAGAGUGCAAAAUAGAAUAUGAUGAUUUCAUAGAGUGUAUACUUCAGCAGAAAACGAUGAGACCUAUGAGUACCAUCAGGAAGCAGCGGGAUAAGCUGAUAAAGGAAGGGAAGUACACCCCUCCACCUCACCAUGUGAGCAAGGGUUUAUCACUAACGUGA
This is a non-coding RNA of Saimiri boliviensis boliviensis (Bolivian squirrel monkey), 313 nucleotides long. NCBI's taxonomy places the organism in Eukaryota, Metazoa, Chordata, Mammalia, Primates, Cebidae. The record is from RefSeq and is a predicted model, not a curated record.